Molecule: long non-coding RNA, 205 nt
Filed under: Elaeis guineensis (African oil palm)
Lineage: Eukaryota; Viridiplantae; Streptophyta; Magnoliopsida; Arecales; Arecaceae
Description: long non-coding RNA (EGUI_LNC053087)
Source: RNAcentral
CCAUAUGAGAUCAUCAUCAAAUCCUUCCCCAAUUUCCUAUCCAUUAUUCUUAUGUCUUAUGUUGCAAAACUUCUACCGAGAAAUUGUUUCCUCAUCAACUUAAGGUGCAUGAAUGUUCAAAUCCAGUUAUAUUAUGCAAAUAAAAUCUCGCCAAUCUUUUGCUUCUAGCCUGCCUCUUUUGUGGAAUACUCUCCAUGACAAGCAA